RNAcentral lists this long non-coding RNA (3578 nucleotides) under Sarcophilus harrisii (Tasmanian devil). Its description in RNAcentral is "lncRNA (ENSSHAG00000021926.1)". Lineage: Eukaryota; Metazoa; Chordata; Mammalia; Dasyuromorphia; Dasyuridae. The record is from RNAcentral.
AAUGUUUUGACAACUUAGGUUUGAUUAAUUUAUACCUAAUGGUCUUGAUAUUUUUGUAAGCUUAACAAAAAAUAGCAAUUUAUAUGACAUGGAACAAAUUACUGAAUUCCAACUCUAUUUUAAGACUAUUAAUUUUUUCUUUUAUGUUCUGUGCCUAUUUAAAACAGUGCCUCUAUUUGAAGGUGCUAAUAUUACAUAUUUGAAUAUGAGAUGUAGAUUCAGAUAGUAUUGUUUUUGUCUCCAUUAUCUUGAGAUAAGAUAAAUUACCAUUUUGAUCAUGGGACACUCAAGAUGCAGGGGUCCUCAAACUUUUGAAAUAGGGGGCCAGUUCACUGUCCCUCAGACUGUUGGAGGGCCAGACUAUAAUAAAAAUAAAAACUUUGUUUUGUGGGCCUUUAAAUAAAGACUUGGGUGAGGGGUAUAAUCGUCCUCAGCUGCCGCAUCUGGCCCACGGGCUGUAGUUUGAGGACCGCUGCCGGGCAAGAGCAUUUAAAACAUUAAAUUUUUAUAAUGAAAUAAAUGGAUCUGAAAAUGUUCUUUGUGGGAAACCUAACUGAACUAGGACUUGGAGACACUACUUGGUAAACUUUCUCAUGUUUUCAAUAAGGUUUUUUACUUGUUUUCUAUAGGCACAUUUAAAUGUAGAAUAUAUGCUAUUAUAUUCUAGUAAGCACCUGCUGUGUAUAAACUGUAUUGGAUUGGAUUGGAUUCACUUGAAUUCCUAGCAUUUAUUAAAUUUUAGACAACUAAUACAAUUCAAUUAUCAGGAAGAAAUAGUUUUUUAAAAUAUUAAAACAUCUUAAAAUAUGUCCAUGAAAAAAUUUAUUUUCUCUCAAAUCUACAAAACUCCUCAUUUUUUCCCUGAGAUCAUUAUUUCAAGAAAGAAAACAACUUCAUUUUUAAAAAAGAUUUUAUUUUAGUUUACAGAUUUUGGGAAAGUAAUACAAAACAGUCUUUUGGUGGCUUUUUUCUUAAACUGGGUAUUUUAAUUUUUUUAAAUCAUGCCUCUGCUAUAGACACUGCUUCAUAAUAUAAUGAAAAAUAUAGUUCUUGCAUUUAAGAUGUUAAGCCAUUUCUUCAGUAUAUUUUCUUCAGUAUAUUUAUUUCUUUUUUCUUUUUAUUCCUAAUAUGUGAGUACUAAAAGACUCAAAUCCUUUCUCUUCCUCAUCUUUGUCUUUUAAAUCUGUUUCCCUCAGAAACCAAGAAAUGACUGAGUUCAUGAAAUCUGCUCUUCAUAAUAUUAAAACAUUCCAGUUCUUUUUUUUUUCUUAAGAUUUACUUAAAGUUUUAAAUAUUUGUAGAGAGUACACAUUUUUAUAUCCAGCUUUUUAAAAAAGUUUACUCAUGGACAUGCCAGCGUUCUCUAACAUGGUAGGUACUGCAAUGAAAAUACCACUUUUGGUUUGGUAUGGUUUGCUUAUUCUUCAGAGUAAACAUUUACAAUGAAGACUUGAAUGUGAAAGUAUCUGUCCAAAAGUAGUGUGUAUUCUCUCUCUAGCUUAAAGCUAAUGUUGCACUUUAAAUUGUUGUUUUUAUUUUCCAUUAAUGAAAUAAAUUAUUUAAACAAUUUUGAAGGAUAUGGGUAAUUAAGAACUUUAUUAUUUAAAAUACUACUUUUUCUAAUCAUAUCUGUUAAUUUGAAAGAGUAUAGAAAAGAUGUAAAUUUAUAGAAAUAAAUUAAAAGAAAUUCUAUCUGAUCCUAAGUAGAUUAUCAAAAAUACAGGUAAGGUAAGAAAGAAUGUUUGCUUUUUUUUACAUAGUUUUAAAGAAACUACAGAUUUUCUGGUACUGCAGGAUUGUUGAAGAAUCAUUAAUGCCUUCUGAAAAUUUUUUAAAAUUAAAAUAAUUCUUCCAGUAUAAUAUUCUAUUGUUCAUGAUUCUGAAGAUUUACGAAGAAAUAUUAGGAUUCGUUUUUUGUUUUUUUUUAAACUUUGUUCAGCUCCUUCUAUUCUGCUUAUUCCCAGUUUGCUCUCUGAUAGAUAGCCUUCAUGAAGUCUUUUAUAGUGUUUCUGUCUAGAUUUUAACCUUACAUGGGGAAAGGCAGAACUGAAGAUAGACAUUUAAGGUGAAGGCAAGAUCCUGGUUUCUAUAAAAGUCCUUACUACAUAACACUGAAGAAAAUGAAUGGAAAUAAAAGUUAUUGCAUAAGGCAUAUUCAUGACAUAUUAACACAUCUGAGGUUGUAUGUAAAUGUUAUCAUUUAUAGUUAAUUAAAAUGAAUUGAGAAUGUCUUAAGAUUUUCUUUUUUAAUUUUUGUUUUCUUCAUGAAUGUAUUCAAAGUAGGAAGGAGAAUUUGACUUAUCUGUUUUUAGCCUUGGGUCUUUUGUAAUAUGCUUUACUGAUAGUAGUCAGUCGAGUUCUUUCUUCAUUCUUGCUCCAUAUUUUAUGUCUAUAGAAUCCCUUAAUGAACUCAUUAACUUUUAUCUUUGAGAAUAAUGUUUAUAUCAAUUGUACACAAGUUUAUUUUAAAAAUUCCUUUUGUGAAAUUAUUUUUGUGUGCUUAAAACAUUAAAUUAUACAUACUAUGUUUCACAGAUGAGAAUUAAAUUAUUUGCCACAGAAACAUUUCAUACUGGUAAACAUUCUACUAAUUGUUUACGUGGAUUUUUAGUAUAACUCGUUUUAAUUUUGCACUAUAACAAGAUGUGAUGGGAGAGAACAGCAAAACUGAGAAAGAUAAGAAUAAAUCAGAAUAUGAACAGAUGAAAAGUGUUUAUCCCAAGAUCAAAGUAAUCUUUAUCUUCAUAUUACUAAGAAAUAUAGGUCAAUGGGGAAUAUACAAAAUAUAAAAGGGGAAAAAUAUAAAUAAUACUUUUUACCAAAGGAACUGGGUACUUUUGUUAAGAUCAACAUGCAGAUUUUCAUACACCCACACACCCCAAUUUCCAUUAGGCAUCAUCUUUUCAUCCUGUUUUUUUGUUGAUGUUUUCCUGAAGAAUUUUACCCCCUUGGGAUAUUCUGUUCAGCUUACUGUGAUGGAAGUCAGCUAACACCAGUAACAUUCCAUUAUCUUACUUGAUUAAGAUUUAGCACAAUGCUCUUGUGCACUUGCUUUCUGUCAACUCCUACACAAAAUAGCACAAUUUCUGUGAAAUAUUUUUUCUAUUUAUUGGCAAAUAAUAAUUGGUUUUGUUUGUAAAAUGUGAAAUUGGCAAAUACCACUAUUGCAUCAUUUAAAUAAUGAUACCAAAAAAUAUACAUUUGGAGAUGGGAGGAGUCAAAAUAUCCUAAUCUCUGAAGGAUCAUUUAUGUGAAGGAAUUGAAACAAUGAUAUACAUUAUAUGGGUAUUUAAAAAUAUCAUUUGGAGACCACAGUUCAUUGUCAAAACAAUCAUAUCCUUAAAUAAAACACUUUUUAAAAAAAGUCAAAUUAGCAUCAUACCAUGUUGAGUAAAGUAUUGACUGAAAAUGACUCAUAUUAAGUUCUCAAAUUCCACAUUUAAUUCUAAUAUUAAAAAGUGCAUGUGAAAAAUUUUAAGAUCUAUGAAUGUAAAAUAGUGACAACUAUUGUAUAUAAUCUGUAACAUAUGUAUAUUUGGUCAGUAAAGGAUGAGAAUUAUAAACAUUUUAAAAUUAAG